CACGUAGGCGGCUUUUAAGUCGGGGUGAAAUCCUGGAGCUCAACUCCAGAACUGCCUUCGAUACUGAGAAGCUCGAGUCCGGGAGAGGUGAGUGGAACUGCGAGUGUAGAGGUGAAAUUCGUAGAUAUUCGCAAGAACACCAGUGGCGAAGGCGGCUCACUGGCCCGGUACUGACGCUGAGGUGCGAAAGCGUGGGAGCAAACA
Molecule: ribosomal RNA, 204 nt
Filed under: uncultured bacterium
Lineage: Bacteria
Description: partial 16S ribosomal RNA
Rfam family: Bacterial small subunit ribosomal RNA
Source: RNAcentral